This 156-nucleotide ribosomal RNA is filed under the name Epidermophyton floccosum. Its description in RNAcentral is "5.8S ribosomal RNA". It matches the Rfam family "5.8S ribosomal RNA". From Rfam's summary of the family: 5.8S ribosomal RNA (5.8S rRNA) is a component of the large subunit of the eukaryotic ribosome. The record is from RNAcentral. Lineage: Eukaryota; Fungi; Ascomycota; Eurotiomycetes; Onygenales; Arthrodermataceae. RNAcentral also lists the same sequence under 3 other names.
AACUUUCAACAACGGAUCUCUUGGUUCCGGCAUCGAUGAAGAACGCAGCGAAAUGCGAUAAGUAAUGUGAAUUGCAGAAUUCCGUGAAUCAUCGAAUCUUUGAACGCACAUUGCGCCCUCUGGUAUUCCGGGGGGCAUGCCUGUUCGAGCGUCAUU